This 944-nucleotide long non-coding RNA is filed under the name Zonotrichia albicollis (white-throated sparrow). RNAcentral describes it as "lncRNA (ENSZALG00000004818.1)". Lineage: Eukaryota; Metazoa; Chordata; Aves; Passeriformes; Passerellidae. The record is from RNAcentral.
GACUCAGUUUAAAUAUUUGUUCAGGAUGACCAUCCAUACCUGAGACCUUAUGAAUUCUGCAGCUGACUUUCAGGAAAUUUCUUCAGGAAAUUUCUGCAAGAACAAAGGAGCACAGCUAUUCAGUGUGGAAGUUUCUUUGGCAGUUUUUAUCUGCUUAAUAGUUGUUCUGCCACUCGUCAGUGCUGAAGGCUAUGCUUUCACUGGGGUAUAACAAGUGAUUGUUUUGAAUGAACAAAUGAACAUUUUUGGACUAUAUAUGCAUAAACAAAAAUUUGGAGCUAUAUAUGCCUUCAGGAAGAGAGAGGUUUUUUCCACUGGUCACAGUUCUGGGAGCCAACCUAACACUGGUGGAAGUGGACAAGGAUGGUGGACUCCUGUCUGCACUACUCCAUACCACUGGUCAGGGUUCUGAAAAAAUGGGACACAGCCUUGACUGGCUCUCAGCCUGCCAUGGUAACUCCUUGAACAUUUACUAUACUUUUUUACAUUCAGGACCACCGAAGCUGAUAGCAUGGGUCCUAUUCACCCAUGCUAAUUCUUUUCCAGCGGGAACAUGGAAGGAAGAGUACAGAUGGGCUAGGAGUGGACUGCUGGGCACUCUGGGAAUCUAUCCCCAACACAAGGAGCCAUGAAAUUCCAACAUAAAAGAAUUAGCCCUGCAAAAACCUGUUGUAUUUUACUUCAUGUAUCGUUCAACACAUAACACUGGGGGAUUUUAGCCUACAGUGAGAACUCAUUUUUAUCUAAUACACAUAAUUAGGUCAAGCCAAUGGAUUACAGAUUAAACAAGCAGGGCAUUUUGCUAUCACUGGAAGAACUUUAUGUAUGUAUCUGAAGUCCUAAUAGUAUAUACUCAUGGUUUUAAAACACUGGUUAUUUAUUGACAAUUUUAGCUUGAAGUGGCCUGCAAUAAACUAGCAGCUUUUAGGGUCUUACUAAUUUAC